CACGUAGGGCGCAAGCGUUGUCCGGAAUUAUUGGGCGUAAAGAGCUCGUAGGCGGUCUGUUGCGUCCGCUGUGAAAACUCGGGGCUUAACCCCGAGCCUGCAGUGGAUACGGGCAGACUAGAGGUAGGUAGGGGAGAAUGGAAUUCCCGGUGUAGCGGUGAAAUGCGCAGAUAUCGGGAGGAACACCGGUGGCGAAGGCGGUUCUCUGGGCCUUACCUGACGCUGAGGCACGAAAGCCAGGGGAGCAAACGGG
This 253-nucleotide ribosomal RNA is filed under the name uncultured bacterium. RNAcentral's name for it is "partial 16S ribosomal RNA". It matches the Rfam family "Bacterial small subunit ribosomal RNA", at positions 524 to 776 of the family's 1533-position model. The record is from RNAcentral.